GGAGAGACGAGAACAUGGGCCCAGAGAAGGUCAUCUACCAUCUCCUGCAAAGCCUUCAAGCUGGCGCGACCUGGUAGGCUCCAGACCCAUUGUGCAGUCCAGAAUGGAGACCAGCAUGGGGCUUGAACUCACAACUCUGAGAUUAAGACCUGAGCUGAGACCAAAAUCAGAUGCUUAGCUGACUGAGCUGCCCAGGCACCCCUUUCCUGAGACUUUUUGAUGAGGCCUCAACCUCAGCCCCAGCCCCGGCUUUGCCCCACCCAGCCACUCAGCCCAGCUGGAACAAGAAUCCAGAACUCAAGAAAAGGUGUGCCUGGAUUUACACUGCAUGGGAGAUGCACCAUUUCUGUGAGCGGUGUUUAC
This is a long non-coding RNA of Mustela lutreola (European mink), 363 nucleotides long. RefSeq lists it as uncharacterized. The transcript has 3 exons. The record is from RefSeq and is a predicted model, not a curated record. NCBI's taxonomy places the organism in Eukaryota, Metazoa, Chordata, Mammalia, Carnivora, Mustelidae.